This 253-nucleotide ribosomal RNA is filed under the name uncultured prokaryote. Its description in RNAcentral is "partial 16S ribosomal RNA". It matches the Rfam family "Bacterial small subunit ribosomal RNA", at positions 524 to 776 of the family's 1533-position model. The record is from RNAcentral.
UACGGGGGGGGCAAGCGUUGUUCGGAAUUACUGGGCGUAAAGGGCGCGUAGGCGGUUGGAUAAGUCAGCUGUGAAAACCACGGGCUUAACUCGUGGCCUGCAGUUGAGACUGUCUGGCUUGAGUGUGGGAGAGGAGACUGGAAUUCACGGUGUAGCGGUGAAAUGCGUAGAUAUCGUGAGGAACACCAAUGGCGAAGGCAGGUCUCUGGACAAUUUCUGACGCUCAUGCACGAAAGCCAGGGGAGCAAACGGG